GGCUUACACAUGCAAGUCGUGCGAGAAAGUAUCUUCGGAUAUGAGUAGAGCGGCGGACGGGUGAGUAACGCGUAGGAAUCUACCUAGUAGAAGGGGAUAGCCCGGGGAAACCCGGAUUAAUACCGUAUACCUCCUUCGGGAGAAAGAAGGCCUCUCUUUGAAGCUUUCGCUAUUAGAUGAGCCUGCGUAAGAUUAGCUUGUUGGUGAGGUAAAGGCUCACCAAGGCGACGAUCUUUAGCUGGUCUGAGAGGACGAUCAGCCACAUUGGGACUGAGACACGGCCCAGACUCCUACGGGAGGCAGCAGUGGGGAAUAUUGGACAAUGGGCGCAAGCCUGAUCCAGCCAUACCGCGUGUGUGAAGAAGGCCUUCGGGUUGUAAAGCACUUUAAGCAGGGAGAAAAAGUUAUAAGU
RNAcentral lists this ribosomal RNA (412 nucleotides) under uncultured bacterium. RNAcentral's name for it is "bacterial SSU rRNA". It matches the Rfam family "Bacterial small subunit ribosomal RNA", at positions 45 to 460 of the family's 1533-position model. The record is from RNAcentral.